Long non-coding RNA from Heterocephalus glaber (naked mole-rat), 2576 nucleotides. The record is from Ensembl. NCBI's taxonomy places the organism in Eukaryota, Metazoa, Chordata, Mammalia, Rodentia, Bathyergidae.
UGAACACAAAAUGAAGGUGGGGACGCCAAGCUCCAUCCUGCUCUUAGCUACCCACUGGGCACCUCCACGUCCUGCUGUCUCACUCUGGACAUCAGCGUGCGUGAACGAGGUAUUGGCACUCUGAAAGCCUGGCCUCUCAUUAGUCACUCCCACCUCUCAUGCAGCAGGAGGCAGCAGGAUUUCUCACACACAGCAAUCAUUUCUUUCUCUGGUAAAGACAGUAAUCUUGGGAAAAGAAGGGCAAUUAUCUUAGCAGAAUUACCAACCUUGCAGGGUGACAUUAUCAACUGUUGGAAAUUACAUGGUAUUCAUUUGCUGCUAUUUUAAUGUUUGUCGUCUUCUACUUCCCCCCUUCCCCAGCCCAGUGCUGAAUCCCCUACCUUCCCACCUCCUUCUUUCUUUUGAUUAAUCCUGGGAAAUAACUUCCUUAUUUUUAGCAGGCUGAUGCUCCUAGCAGGGAUUUGAUAUUGAGGAUCAUAAUAAGGACUUCCACACUUUCAGCUGGGGCUCAGCCACCACCCUUUGGAUUUUCCAAUGGUGCUUCAGCACGUCUGUGGCUGCCAACAAGGAAAUGCCCACUGGACACCUGAUGGCUGGAUUCAAAGCUGCCUGGCUGCUCUUCCCUCCUUCAGGAAGCCACGGCUGGAUUCUCACUCUGCAUGUCUAUUACUUACCUUAUUUGGUGAUGAGUGCCUGGUAGCCCGGAAGAGUUCCCAGGCCUUUUCCUGUUAUCCCCGAGAAGUCUCCAACGGGUGCGAGGUCCAGCAUCUCAUCUCGACCCAGAGGCAGAGAUUGACACGUGGGAGGCUGGGGCAGCCUGGUAACUUCUCAGCCUACACAGCGCCACCUGCUGGCUCCCUUCUCCUGCGCAGCCAGGAAGCAGGAGGCAGAGUGGAAGGGGAAGUCCUCAGGCACACGCUGUCUCUGGAUGUGAAGUCAGCUCUGCAGAACGUCCUGGCCGUUCGACCUUGAGGAAGCUGCGGUUCAGCUCCAGACUGUGUAACCACCUUGUGAGAAGACCUGUUCACCCUGACCCAGUCUGAGGAGGCACAGCCUGGAGAGGGGGAGAAAAGGCCAAAGCCCCCACCCCACUCUAAUUCUGUGUUGAUUCUGGUCAAGGCCCUUCAUUAAUGAAAGGCAUUAGUUUUGUUUCUCAAAGAAAAACAAUUUUAGAUACUAAGGUCGUGUGCAACCUUGGCUGAGGGUUGCUGUCGUUCUACUACUGACAGAGCAUUGCUGCAGAUGGAUUAUCACUGCUGUCAAACCUCCCAACAGGCUCUUUCUUUGGACAGCUUUCAUCAGACCUCUGAACCUUCUCCUACACCCAUUUGUGCAAGACCUUGUCAAGUCGGACUUUUUUCGGUGCAGGGGAUCAAACUCAGGACCUUCCACUUGUAAGGCAGGCACGGUGCCACUGAGCUAAAUCCCGGCCCUUCAAGUCUGAUUUUAGCAAAGAGCUCACGCCCUCAGCAUCCCUCACCCUGGUGUCUGGGGAGGCCCCUCAUCCUGUGCCAGAAGACAUCAGGUUUCCCUGUCCUGAAUGCACCCAUGAUUCUUCAGGUCAGCACAGCCCGGGUCCUGGCCCUUGCGCUUCUCCGUCAUUUUCCACCCACUGACCUCACCCUGCCUGGGCGAAGACUCCCGCUUGGCCACGCUGCAGGUGACGUGAACCCUAAUCUCAGUGCUCCCUGCAAGAUCAUACUGAGUGGUCCCGACACCCCAAUACCUGGAUGGUCCUGGACAAAGUCCUUCUUGCCACAGUUUCACAAGUGUCACUGAAUGUUUUUUUCUGUAACAUCCCCAAGAUUUUUACUCUAAGAAGCCUUUCCUGUAACCCUAAAUGCAUCCCUGGUCUGCAUAAAGUUAGUUUUCGGGUGGGGGUGACUUUUUCAAUGUCCAGCUUCUCGGUGGCCCUGAAGAAGAGGCCUCAGACCUACGCUGGACGAAUGCUGAGGUGCAGAUGUCUGGAGAGUGCAUUUCGCCCCAAGGACUACAGUUACCACAGCAAGAAGCCUGGGCCCCGUGGAGGUGGCCAGAAGCCCUGAGCACCCUGACUCUGGGAUUACGUCUUUGCUCAGAGUCCUGUUUCGCUCCCACACCCAGAUGAGACUGGCUGUCUCAACUUUCCAUGGCACAGCGACGUAGCUGAAGAUGUGACUAAAAGCAUUUGCGUUCUGUGGGCCUCUUGAAGGCAAUCAGGGUGGAUUUGGUUUGUCCGGGUCUCCAACACCAACUUCAGUGCCCAGAAAGCAAUGCAUCUUUGGUGUUUGUGGAGUGAAUGAAAGGUUAGCACAAGGGUUAGCUAUGCCGUUUUGUCAACAGCAAAGACCUUCAAGCAGUACUUCAAACCAAUGCUUUCAUAAUUCUCACAAACUAGCUCACAGAUCUAGAGUGUGUCACAUUAUAAUAUUAAAUAUAACAUUAAAAUAUUGCAUUUUAUGAUUAAACAAAAUAGGCAUUGUAAAUACCAGGAAAAAUGCAAAGAAAAUUAAAAAAUCUGUAAUCACACCAUCCAGACAGCCAUUGUUACCUUUUUGUGAUUACGUUUUUAUUUAUAAUUAUUUUAAAAUUGGAAU